CCGAAAAUGUACCGGGGCUAAACAUAUUACCGAAGCUGUGGAUUGUCCUUUGGACAAUGGUAGGAGAGCGUUCUAAGGGCGUUGAAGCAUGAUCGUAAGGACAUGUGGAGCGCUUAGAAGUGAGAAUGCCGGUGUGAGUAGCGAAAGACGGGUGAGAAUCCCGUCCACCGAUUGACUAAGGUUUCCAGAGGAAGGCUCGUCCGCUCUGGGUUAGUCGGGUCCUAAGCUGAGGCCGACAGGCGUAGGCGAUGGAUAACAGGUUGAUAUUCCUGUACCACCUAUAAUCGUUUUAAUCGAUGGGGGGACGCAGUAGGAUAGGCGAAGCGUGCGAUUGGAUUGCACGUCUAAGCAGUAAGGCUGAGUAUUAGGCAAAUCCGGUACUCGUUAAGGCUGAGCUGUGAUGGGGAGAAGACAUUGUGUCUUCGAGUCGUUGAUUUCACACUGCCGAGAAAAGCCUCUAGAUAGAAAAUAGGUGCCCGUACCGCAAACCGACACAGGUAGUCAAGAUGAGAAUUCUAAGGUGAGCGAGCGAACUCUCGUUAAGGAACUCGGCAAAAUGACCCCGUAACUUCGGGAGAAGGGGUGCUCUUUAGGGUUAACGCCCAGAAGAGCCGCAGUGAAUAGGCCCAAGCGACUGUUUAUCAAAAACACAGGUCUCUGCUAAACCGUAAGGUGAUGUAUAGGGGCUGACGCCUGCCCGGUGCUGGAAGGUUAAGAGGAGUGGUUAGCUUCUGCGAAGCUACGAAUCGAAGCCCCAGUAAACGGCGGCCGUAACUAUAACGGUCCUAAGGUAGCGAAAUUCCUUGUCGGGUAAGUUCCGACCCGCACGAAAGGCGUAACGAUUUGGGCACUGUCUCAACGAGAGACUCGGUGAAAUCAUAGUACCUGUGAAGAUGCAGGUUACCCGCGACAGGACGGAAAGACCCCGUGGAGCUUUACUGUAGCCUGAUAUUGAAAUUCGGCACAGCUUGUACAGGAUAGGUAGGAGCCUUUGAAACGUGAGCGUUAGCUUACGUGGAGGCGCUGGUGGGAUACUACCCUAGCUGUGUUGGCUUUCUAACCCGCACCACUUAUCGUGGUGGGAGACAGUGUCAGGCGGGCAGUUUGACUGGGGCGGUCGCCUCCUAAAAGGUAACGGAGGCGCUCAAAGGUUCCCUCAGAAUGGUUGGAAAUCAUUCAUAGAGUGUAAAGGCAUAAGGGAGCUUGACUGCGAGACCUACAAGUCGAGCAGGGUCGAAAGACGGACUUAGUGAUCCGGUGGUUCCGCAUGGAAGGGCCAUCGCUCAACGGAUAAAAGCUACCCCGGGGAUAACAGGCUUAUCUCCCCCAAGAGUUCACAUCGACGGGGAGGUUUGGCACCUCGAUGUCGGCUCAUCGCAUCCUGGGGCUGUAGUCGGUCCCAAGGGUUGGGCUGUUCGCCCAUUAAAGCGGUACGCGAGCUGGGUUCAGAACGUCGUGAGACAGUUCGGUCCCUAUCCGUCGUGGGCGUAGGAAAUUUGAGAGGAGCUGUCCUUAGUACGAGAGGACCGGGAUGGACAUACCUCUGGUGUACCAGUUGUCGUGCCAACGGCAUAGCUGGGUAGCUAUGUGUGGACGGGAUAAGUGCUGAAAGCAUCUAAGCAUGAAGCCCCCCUCAAGAUGAGAUUUCCCAACUUCGGUUAUAAGAUCCCUCAAAGAUGAUGAGGUUAAUAGGUUCGAGGUGGAAGCAUGGUGACAUGUGGAGCUGACGAAUACUAAUCGAUCGAAGACUUAAUCAA
This 1757-nucleotide ribosomal RNA is filed under the name Staphylococcus aureus M0877. RNAcentral's name for it is "bacterial LSU rRNA". It matches the Rfam family "Bacterial large subunit ribosomal RNA", at positions 1164 to 2925 of the family's 2925-position model. The record is from RNAcentral. Lineage: Bacteria; Bacillati; Bacillota; Bacilli; Caryophanales; Staphylococcaceae.